RNAcentral lists this ribosomal RNA (771 nucleotides) under uncultured Clostridia bacterium. Its description in RNAcentral is "bacterial SSU rRNA". It matches the Rfam family "Bacterial small subunit ribosomal RNA", at positions 101 to 896 of the family's 1533-position model. Lineage: Bacteria; Bacillati; Bacillota; Clostridia. The record is from RNAcentral.
AACGGGUGAGUAACACGUGAGUAACCUGCCUUACACAAGGGGAUAGCCUUUGGAAACGACAGCAAUAAUACCCUAUAAAGUCCAAAUAUCGCAUGAUAUAGGACCCAAGAUUUAUCGGUGUAAGAUGGACUUGCGUCUGAUUAGCUAGUUGGUGAGAUAAAAGCCCACCAAGGCGACGAUCAGUAGCCGGCUUGAGAGAGUGUACGGCCACAUUGGGACUGAGACACGGCCCAAACUCCUACGGGAGGCAGCAGUGGGGAAUUUUGCACAAUGGGGGAAACCCUGAUGCAGCGACGCCGCGUGAUUUAGAAGGCCUUCGGGUUGUAAAAAUCUUUUUUAUGGGAUGAAAAUGACAGUACCAUAAGAAUAAGGUCCGGCUAAAUACGUGCCAGCAGCCGCGGUAAUACGUAUGGACCGAGCGUUGUCCGGAAUCAUUGGGCGUAAAGGGUACGUAGGCGGCCUAGUAAGUUAGAAGUGAAAUAAUAUAGCUCAACUAUAUAAAGCUUUUAAAACUGUUAGGCUUGAGAGAUGAAAGGGAAAGUGGAAUUCCUAGUGUAGCGGUGAAAUGCGCAGAUAUUAGGAAGAAUACCGGUGGCGAAGGCGACUUUCUGGUCAUCAUCUGACGCUGAGGUACGAAAGCGUGGGUAGCAAACAGGAUUAGAUACCCUGGUAGUCCACGCUGUAAACGAUGAGUGUUAGGUUCUUGGAAUAAUCUGGGAGCCGCAGCUAACGCAUUAAACACUCCGCCUGGGGAGUACGCACGCAAGUGUG